UGUUUCGGCUAGGGGGCCAUCCCGGCUUACCAACCCGAUGCAAACUGCGAAUACCGGAGAAUGUUAUCACGGGAGACACACGGCGGGUGCUAACGUCCGUCGUGAAGAGGGAAACAACCCAGACCGCCAGCUAAGGUCCCAAAGUCAUGGUUAAGUGGGAAACGAUGUGGGAAGGCCCAGACAGCCAGGAUGUUGGCUUAGAAGCAGCCAUCAUUUAAAGAAAGCGUAAUAGCUCACUGGUCGAGUCGGCCUGCGCGGAAGAUGUAACGGGGCUAAACCAUGCACCGAAGCUGCGGCAGCGACACUGUGUGUUGUUGGGUAGGGGAGCGUUCUGUAAGCCUGUGAAGGUGGCCUGUGAGGGUUGCUGGAGGUAUCAGAAGUGCGAAUGCUGACAUAAGUAACGAUAAAGCGGGUGAAAAGCCCGCUCGCCGGAAGACCAAGGGUUCCUGUCCAACGUUAAUCGGGGCAGGGUGAGUCGACCCCUAAGGCGAGGCCGAAAGGCGUAGUCGAUGGGAAAC
RNAcentral lists this ribosomal RNA (518 nucleotides) under Salmonella enterica subsp. enterica serovar Newport. RNAcentral describes it as "partial 23S ribosomal RNA". It matches the Rfam family "Bacterial large subunit ribosomal RNA", at positions 911 to 1426 of the family's 2925-position model. The record is from RNAcentral. Lineage: Bacteria; Pseudomonadati; Pseudomonadota; Gammaproteobacteria; Enterobacterales; Enterobacteriaceae.